GUGAAUUUGUUUUUUGCAGUCG
This 22-nucleotide microRNA is filed under the name Drosophila mojavensis. Its description in RNAcentral is "Dmo-Novel-14_3p (mature (guide))". The record is from RNAcentral. Lineage: Eukaryota; Metazoa; Arthropoda; Insecta; Diptera; Drosophilidae.